Molecule: ribosomal RNA, 208 nt
Filed under: uncultured bacterium
Lineage: Bacteria
Description: partial 16S ribosomal RNA
Rfam family: Bacterial small subunit ribosomal RNA
Source: RNAcentral
CGCGUAGGCGGCUCGGUAAGUCUGGAGUGAAAUUCCUGCUUUCAAGGUGGGAACUGCUUUGGAUACUGUCGGGCUUGAGUGCAGGAGAGGUAAGUGGAAUUCACGGUGUAGCGGUGAAAUGCGUAGAGAUCGGGAGGAACACCAGUGGCGAAGGCGACUUACUGGACUGUAACUGACGCUGAGGCGCGAAAGUGUGGGGAGCAAACAG